AGUGAACGCUGGCGGUAGGCCUAACACAUGCAAGUCGAACGGCAGCACAGUAAGAGCUUGCUUUCACGGGUGGCGAGUGGCGGACGGGUGAGGAAUACAUCGGAAUCUACUUUUUCGUGGGGGAUAACGUAGGGAAACUUACGCUAAUACCGCAUACGACCUACGGGUGAAAGCAGGGGAUCUUCGGACCUUGCGCGAUUGAAUGAGCCGGUGUCGGAUUAGCUAGUUGGCGGGGUAAAGGCCCACCAAGGCGACGAUCCGUAGCUGGUCUGAGAGGAUGAUCGGCCACACUGGAACUGAGACACGGUCCAGACUCCUACGGGAGGCAGCAGUGGGGUAUAUUGGACAGUGGGCGCAAGCCUGGUCCAGCCAUACCGCGUGGGUGGAGAAGGCCUUCGGGUUGUAAAGCCCUUUUGUUGGGAAAGAAAAGCAGCAGGUUAAUACCCCGCUGUUCUGACGGUACCCAAAGAAUAAGCACCGGCUAACUUCGUG
Molecule: ribosomal RNA, 492 nt
Filed under: uncultured bacterium
Lineage: Bacteria
Description: partial 16S ribosomal RNA
Rfam family: Bacterial small subunit ribosomal RNA
Source: RNAcentral